RNAcentral lists this ribosomal RNA (254 nucleotides) under uncultured prokaryote. RNAcentral's name for it is "partial 16S ribosomal RNA". It matches the Rfam family "Bacterial small subunit ribosomal RNA", at positions 524 to 776 of the family's 1533-position model. The record is from RNAcentral.
UACGGGGGGAGCAAGCGUUGUUCGGAUUUACUGGGCGUAAAGGGCGCGUAGGCGGCCUCUGCAAGUCGACUGUGAAAUCUCCGGGCUUAACCCGGAAAGGUCAGCCGAUACUGCAGGGCUAGAGUGCAGAAGGGGCAACUGGAAUUCUCGGUGUAGCGGUGAAAUGCGUAGAUAUCGAGAGGAACACCUGCGGCGAAGGCGGGUUGCUGGGCUGACACUGACGCUGAUGCGCGAAAGCGUGGGGAGCAAACAGG